CAAUUUAAUAGUUUAAGAAGAAUACAGGUUUUUGGGACCUGAGGUCUCUUUCGGAGUAAAUUGA
This 64-nucleotide transfer RNA is filed under the name Gastrothylax crumenifer. Its description in RNAcentral is "tRNA-Pro". The record is from RNAcentral. Lineage: Eukaryota; Metazoa; Platyhelminthes; Trematoda; Plagiorchiida; Gastrothylacidae.